Molecule: ribosomal RNA, 301 nt
Filed under: uncultured bacterium
Lineage: Bacteria
Description: partial 16S ribosomal RNA
Rfam family: Bacterial small subunit ribosomal RNA
Source: RNAcentral
CAGUAGCCGCGGUAAUACGUAGGUGGCAAGCGUUGUCCGAAAUUAUUGGGCGUAAAGGGCUCGCAGGCGGUUUCUUAAGUCUGAUGUGAAAGCCCCCGGCUCAACCGGGGAGGGUCAUUGGAAACUGGGAAACUUGAGUGCAGAAGAGGAGAGUGGAAUUCCACGUGUAGCGGUGAAAUGCGUAGAGAUGUGGAGGAACGCCAGUGGCGAAGGCGACUCUCUGGUCUGUAACUGACGCUGAGGAGCGAAAGCGUGGGGAGCGAACAGGAUUAGAUACCCGCGUAGUCCCUGUCUCUUAUAC